RNAcentral lists this unclassified non-coding RNA (231 nucleotides) under plant metagenome. Its description in RNAcentral is "partial contains small subunit ribosomal RNA, internal transcribed spacer 1, and 5.8S ribosomal RNA". The record is from RNAcentral.
UCUCCGUUGGUGAACCAGCGGAGGGAUCAUUACCGAGUUCCAGCAACUCCCAACCCUUGCGAACCGUACCCCAGUCUGUUCUCGUUGCUUCCGGCAGGCGGGGGGGGCCACCUGGCCCCCCCCCCUGCCGGGGGCGGCGGGCCCUCUGAACUUUUAUAUCUCACCCACUGAAACCCGUCUGAGCAAAACAAAAAAUAAUAAAAACUUUCAACAACGGAUCUCUUGGCUCUG